RNAcentral lists this ribosomal RNA (449 nucleotides) under uncultured bacterium. RNAcentral's name for it is "partial 16S ribosomal RNA". It matches the Rfam family "Bacterial small subunit ribosomal RNA", at positions 354 to 796 of the family's 1533-position model. The record is from RNAcentral.
GUCGAGAAUCUUUCACAAUGGGGGCAACCCUGAUGGAGCGACGCCGCGUGGAGGAUAAGGUCUUCGGAUUGUAAACUCCUGUCAUGCGUGAACAAGGUUGCUUGGUUAAUACCUGGGCAAAUUGAUGGUAACGCAAGAGGAAGAGACGGCUAACUCUGUGCCAGCAGCCGCGGUAAUACAGAGGUCUCAAGCGUUGUUCGGAAUCACUGGGCGUAAAGGGUGCGUAGGUGGCGUGGUAAGUCAGAUGUGAAAGCCCGGGGCGCAACCUCGGAACUGCAUCCGAUACUGCCAUGCUAGAGUACUGGAGAGGUGACUAGAAUUCUCGGUGUAGCAGUGAAAUGCGUAGAUAUCGAGAGGAAUACCAAAGGCGUAGGCAGGUCACUGGACAGUUACUGACACUGAGGCACGAAGGCCAGGGGAGCGAACGGGAUUAGAAACCCUGGUAGUCC